Non-coding RNA from Cyanistes caeruleus (blue tit), 769 nucleotides. Lineage: Eukaryota; Metazoa; Chordata; Aves; Passeriformes; Paridae. The record is from RefSeq and is a predicted model, not a curated record.
UGAACUCUUGCACCAAAUGGCCACACAAUCUCACUUUGCCUCAGGAACACCAGGUACUUACAGGAAAAAAGAUAUUUUUCUUUUGCUGAAAUAGAUACUUAAAAAAUAUAUUCUGAAAUAAGUGAGAAGAAAGGACACCCAGUGCAAGGAAAUGCCCACAUUGAGAAUGUAGAUUCAGUUCCUGCUUUGUCCCUGUAAAGCCUGAAGUCCUUGUGCUGCUGUUUGUGAAUGCUAUAAAAGAGAAGAUUACCAAGUUGGAGGGUCAGAUGAGUAGAAAAUUACGAGCUGCUGGUCCGUGUGCUCAGCCUUCGCCUGCGAUUGCAUCUGCUGCAGAGAAGGAUGCUGCAGAAGGGUUUCCAUCGGGAUAUCAGUGGGGGAAUGAAGGAUGGAGCCCCUUGGUGCUGCACAUCCCUCAGCAGGAGGGACCUCCCCGAGCACAGAGCUCCCCCAGACACGGCUGCAGAGGAUGGAGGAGCUGGGGGCACCUUCAGGCUGCACUCUUCACCCGGUAAAACCACUGAGGGUGAUUUUUUGGGACCCUGCUGGGUGUUAGUGUGGCAGGAAAACGCUUUUGAUGGCUAAACAGAUUGUGUGGUGAGGCUGGGGCUUGAUCUGACUCUCAAACAGCACAAAACAGGCUGUGGCUUUCCUUAGAGCACUAAAGACUGGAAGGGUUAAGAGUGAAUGAUGUGCUUUUAAAGGGAUGUUAACUCGAGAUAAUGUAACUUCAUUGAGAAUACCUGGAAUAUCUUUAAAUAGAUUUUGUGCU